UGGGGAAUAUUGCACAAUGGGCGCAAGCCUGAUGCAGCCAUGCCGCGUGUGUGAAGAAGGCCUUCGGGUUGUAAAGCACUUUCAGCGAGGAGGAAGGGUAGUGUGUUAAUAGCACAUUGCAUUGACGUUACUCGCAGAAGAAGCACCGGCUAACUCCGUGCCAGCAGCCGCGGUAAUACGGAGGGUGCAAGCGUUAAUCGGAAUUACUGGGCGUAAAGCGCACGCAGGCGGUUUGUUAAGUCAGAUGUGAAAUCCCCGCGCUUAACGUGGGAACUGCAUUUGAAACUGGCAAGCUAGAGUCUUGUAGAGGGGGGUAGAAUUCCAGGUGUAGCGGUGAAAUGCGUAGAGAUCUGGAGGAAUACUGGUGGCGAAGGCGGCCCCCUGGACAAAGACUGACGCUCAGGUGCGAAAGCGUGGGGAGCAAACA
RNAcentral lists this ribosomal RNA (427 nucleotides) under uncultured bacterium. RNAcentral's name for it is "partial 16S ribosomal RNA". It matches the Rfam family "Bacterial small subunit ribosomal RNA", at positions 355 to 774 of the family's 1533-position model. The record is from RNAcentral.